This 74-nucleotide transfer RNA is filed under the name Fukomys damarensis (Damara mole-rat). It matches the Rfam family "tRNA". From Rfam's summary of the family: Transfer RNA (tRNA) molecules are approximately 80 nucleotides in length. Their secondary structure includes four short double-helical elements and three loops (D, anti-codon, and T loops). The record is from Rfam by way of RNAcentral. Lineage: Eukaryota; Metazoa; Chordata; Mammalia; Rodentia; Bathyergidae.
UGAGUUGUAGCUUGGUGGAAAAGAGCUUAAGCCUAACAUGCUCAAGGCCCUGGGUUCAAUUCCUAGCAUCCCAA